UACGUAGGGCGCAAGCGUUGUCCGGAAUUAUUGGGCGUAAAGAGCUCGUAGGCGGUCUGUCGCGUCCGUUGUGAAAACUCGAGGCUCAACCUCGGGCUUGCAGUGGAUACGGGCAGACUAGAGUGCGGUAGGGGAGACUGGAAUUCUUGGUGUAGCGGUGAAAUGCGUAGAUAUCAAGAGGAACACCUGCGGCGAAGGCGGGUUGCUGGGCCGACACUGACGCUGAGGCGCGAAAGCCAGGGGAGCGAACGGG
RNAcentral lists this ribosomal RNA (253 nucleotides) under uncultured bacterium. RNAcentral describes it as "partial 16S ribosomal RNA". It matches the Rfam family "Bacterial small subunit ribosomal RNA", at positions 524 to 776 of the family's 1533-position model. The record is from RNAcentral.